UACGUAGGGAGCGAGCGUUGUCCGGAUUUAUUGGGCGUAAAGAGCUCGUAGGCGGUUUGGUAAGUCGGGUGUGAAAGCUCCGGGCUCAACUCGGAGAGGUCACUCGAUACUGCCAUGACUGGAGUCCGGUAGGGGGGUGUGGAAUUCCCAGUGUAGCGGUGAAAUGCGUAGAUAUCUGGAGGAACACCGGUGGCGAAGGCGGCAUCCUGGACCAAUACUGACGCUGAGGAGCGAAAGCCAGGGGAGCAAACGGG
RNAcentral lists this ribosomal RNA (254 nucleotides) under uncultured bacterium. Its description in RNAcentral is "partial 16S ribosomal RNA". It matches the Rfam family "Bacterial small subunit ribosomal RNA", at positions 524 to 776 of the family's 1533-position model. The record is from RNAcentral.